RNAcentral lists this ribosomal RNA (451 nucleotides) under uncultured bacterium. Its description in RNAcentral is "partial 16S ribosomal RNA". It matches the Rfam family "Bacterial small subunit ribosomal RNA", at positions 354 to 796 of the family's 1533-position model. The record is from RNAcentral.
GUGGGGAAUAUUGGACAAUGGGGGGAACCCUGAUCCAGCCAUGCCGCGUGUGUGAAGAAGGCCUUUUGGUUGUAAAGCACUUUAAGCGAGGAGGAGGCUACCGAGAUUAAUACUCUUGGAUAGUGGACGUUACUCGCAGAACAAGCACCGGCUAACUCUGUGCCAGCAGCCGCGGUAAUACAGAGGGUGCAAGCGUUAAUCGGAUUUACUGGGCGUAAAGCGCGCGUAGGUGGCCAAUUAAGUCAAAUGUGAAAUCCCCGAGCUUAACUUGGGAAUUGCAUUCGAUACUGGUUGGCUAGAGUAUGGGAGAGGAUGGUAGAAUUCCAGGUGUAGCGGUGAAAUGCGUAGAGAUCUGGAGGAAUACCGAUGGCGAAGGCAGCCAUCUGGCCUAAUACUGACACUGAGGUGCGAAAGCAUGGGGAGCAAACAGGAUUAGAAACCCGUGUAGUCC